GACGAACGCUGGCGGCGUGCUUAACACAUGCAAGUCGUACGGUAAGGCCCUUUCGGGGGUACACGAGUGGCGAACGGGUGCGUAACACGUGAGUAACCUGCCCACAACUUUGGGAUAACGCUAGGAAACUGGUGCUAAUACUGGAUAUGUGCUCCUGCUGCAUGGUGGGGGUUGGAAAGCUCCGGCGGUUGUGGAUGGACUCGCGGCCUAUCAGCUUGUUGGUGGGGUAGUGGCCUACCAAGGCGGCGACGGGUAGCCGGCCUGAGAGGGUGACCGGCCACAUUGGGACUGAGAGACGGCCCAGACUCCUACGGGUGGCAGCAGGGGGGAAUAUUGCACAAUGGGCGCAAGCCUGAUGCAGCAACGCCGCGUGCGGGAUGACGGCCUUCGGGUUGUAAACCGCUUUCAGCAGGGACGAAGCUUUUUGUGACGGUACCUGCAGAAGAAGCACCGGCUAACUACGUG
This 465-nucleotide ribosomal RNA is filed under the name uncultured bacterium. Its description in RNAcentral is "partial 16S ribosomal RNA". It matches the Rfam family "Bacterial small subunit ribosomal RNA", at positions 28 to 507 of the family's 1533-position model. The record is from RNAcentral.